CUGGAUGGUAACAUGUUUUUGUUGGGGAAAUCAAGCAAUGUGGUGAGGAAGAAGAAGUUUCUGGCUUUCAUAAUUGGCUUCAAUUUUACCUAGAAGAGGCAAAAGGAAGAGUUGAUUAUCAAGGAUACAUUUUUCCUCGAUGCCGUGGGGUGAUUCCGGACUCCGAAACCCAGU
Long non-coding RNA from Syzygium oleosum, 174 nucleotides. RefSeq lists it as uncharacterized. The transcript has 3 exons. NCBI's taxonomy places the organism in Eukaryota, Viridiplantae, Streptophyta, Magnoliopsida, Myrtales, Myrtaceae. The record is from RefSeq and is a predicted model, not a curated record.